RNAcentral lists this ribosomal RNA (410 nucleotides) under uncultured Planctomycetaceae bacterium. RNAcentral's name for it is "partial 16S ribosomal RNA". It matches the Rfam family "Bacterial small subunit ribosomal RNA", at positions 355 to 774 of the family's 1533-position model. Lineage: Bacteria; Pseudomonadati; Planctomycetota; Planctomycetia; Planctomycetales; Planctomycetaceae. The record is from RNAcentral.
UCGAGGAUCUUCGGCAAUGGGCGAAAGCCUGACCGAGCGACGCCGCGUGUGCGAUGAAGGCCUUCUGGUUGUAAAGCACUGUCGAAGGGGAGCAAGCCGAAAGGUUGAGAGUACCCUUGGAGGAAGCACGGGCUAAGUUCGUGCCAGCAGCCGCGGUAAGACGAACCGUGCGAACGUUAUUCGGAAUCACUGGGCUUAAAGGGUGCGUAGGCGGGUAUAUAAGUCGAGGGUGAAAGCCUCUAGCUCAACUAGAGAAGUGCCCUCGAAACUAUAUGUCUUGAGAGAGAUAGGGGCAUACGGAACUUCCGGUGGAGCGGUGAAAUGCGUAGAUAUCGGAAGGAACGCCGGUGGCGAAAGCGGUAUGCUGGAUCUUUUCUGACGCUGAGGCACGAAAGCUAGGGUAGCGAACG